RNAcentral lists this long non-coding RNA (5818 nucleotides) under Nicotiana tabacum (common tobacco). RNAcentral describes it as "long non-coding RNA (NTAB_LNC000703)". Lineage: Eukaryota; Viridiplantae; Streptophyta; Magnoliopsida; Solanales; Solanaceae. The record is from RNAcentral.
GAGCCGGGGAGACAAUCCAAAUCGUAAUCAGUGUUCAUUAUUUGAUUGAGCACGAUGUGGUCUGCUAGUCGCGUUAAACCAUUCAAAAGAGUUUUGUCAGCCCCCAAAAGUGCUUUCCUUCUCGCGGAAAGAAGAUGUUUAGUUUUUUUGUCUAUCUCCUUUACCUAUCAUAUGGUGAGUGUCUAAAUUAGAAAGUUUUAAGAAUUCAACUUUGGUCCCUUCUUUAAGUCUUCUGAAGUCCAAUUCGGAAAGCGUUGGAAUAUGUUUAUAUCUGAACAUGGGUAUAUCAGUAUUAAUCAUCUAGAAAUAUUGCAGCUCUAUACUGCAAACUGUUUGCCUCCCCCGUUCUUUCCCAACUCCUUAGUGUAGAUAGGAAAAUCUUUUUGGAUUCUGAUACUCUUAAGGUAAAAUUGCUCUGUUUCCUUAUGGUGUUCCAUGGAUUAGGUUUACAGAUACUUACGUGUGGAUGUAGCUCUGUGACAGAACAUGCGGGUGCAGCCACUACUUUUGGCUUCAAUUUAUAUGUUUAUAUCUAUCGUUACCAAAGAAUAGUGGAAACAGUGAUAUCACUAGUUUAAACUAAACUCGCCUGUAACUUGGAUGCGAUGGAAACUUAUGGAUCGUUUUGUUCAGACUAAUUUAGAUUAUAUUACAUGGAUCUUAUGGUGAAUAACAAUACAUAGAUUGUUAUGCGGUGGAUAAUAAUACGGGAUUGUUAUGAUAUUAAAGCCAAGAAUUAUCUUAUUAUUACACAUUCUCAUUUCACCAUUUUUUCCUUCUAUAAAAUAAUACAAUGAUUCUCACUUAAGUUAUACAGGUACUAGUAAUCGGAGAUUAACAUUGAGGAGUUGUAUGCCGGAAACCAAACGAUAUACUUAUAAAGCGAAGUUUAAUUAAUGCCUUGAUUGUUUUAUUAUAUGAACAGACUAGCCCUUAUGGUUUUAAGCCUUUUUCUAAUCAAAUUUUUAACUACCUGCUAGGCCUCAGUUUCCAUCUCUUUUAUAUCUUGACGUCUGCUUUAGAUACAACCUCAUUAAUUUCCUCAUAAAUUGCAGAUUGUUAUAAAUUGCAGAUUGUUACACUUGAAUUUGAGGCUCCUCCAAAUCCCCCAUUUUGCAGCUUGGUGGAGUGCUGGGGUUAUUGAGAGAACAUGUAGAGAAUAUAAUACUGCACUUAUUCUUAGGUUCGGAUAUAAGAGAUUCAAAUAUUUUAUUUUCUGUGAGGACGGUUUUUGUAGAGAAAGAUUUGAAGAAAUAUUGCAUUAUUUUGACAUGUUUUCAAGCAGAAGUUUCUGCUGAAGUUAAUUCAAUUUCUCUGUUAAACUGAUUCAAAGGUCUGUUUGUCCUGUUCAUUCUUUGUCCAUCUCUUUAUUAUAUGUUGUUUACCUACUCUAUCGGCUUAAGUACCUCGUCAUUUAGACAUUUAUGACAUGAAAACUGAAAUAGAUUCGUCAAUUUCAAUGAAUAUUCCAUUUACCUACUCUAUUGGCUUGAUUGUGCUUGCACACAACCUUAAAGCUCAAAUUCCUGCAGUGGUAAAAAAUACUAAGUGCUUCCUUCCUAUUUGUUUAAGUUUUGGUGGAUAGAGUUCCAGAUACAUGUAUGAUGGUGAAAGGUAACCGAUACCUAGUACAAUUAGUUGUGGUGCAUACCAACGGGCUCAGUCAACAUGGUUAUAAAAAGACAAAAGGCAUGUCAAUGGCUGAUGAUCACUACAAGGUUGGGAGGAAAAUGUCUAGACAAGCUUUAGUAGUGAAAGCAGAAAAGGAAAAAAGAAAAAUUAAUAUACGAGUUUGAAUACACCACAUCUGGGGGGGGGGGGGGGGGAACUACUAUUACUAUCCUCAAAUACCAAGCACAAAUGUUGAUACCUUUGUCGGCCUUUUGGGUAAGAAAUCAGUUUAAUUCCAACUACCUGUAAGAUGUUCAUAGUGCUACGAGAUGUUCAGACUUGGUCUAGUAGCACUCUCUUAGCAACACAAUGGCUAUACGCCCUUCAAAACCAAGUACAACAAGAAUCUUGUUGCUUCAUAUUCAAUGAUGAAGCUAGCAAUGGAGCCAUGAAUUCUGAUACGAGAAUUCAGAAAAUAGUACGAAUGUCACAUCUAAAAUGUGUUUGGACAUGAAUUUUGGAUGAAGUUUUGACUUUUGACAUGUUAAAAAGUACUCUCUUUUUUUCCAACUAAAAAGGGGGCAUUUGCAUCUAUACCCGCUUUUUGGAUCACGUUUUAACUUGUACCCGCUUGGCAAAAAAAUUUGCAAGCGUACCCACUUUUUUGCGUAACUUCAGCAUCUGGGCCUGAAGUAGCAAAAGCAAUCACGCAAAUUUCAGCAUUUUAGUAGACGGGCCUGAAGUAGCAAAAAUUGCUGAACCAAGUGUGCUAAAGUUUUUGUUUGUAAUUGCUGAACUUAAGCAUUCUAGUGUUGAAAUUUUGUUCUCUAUUUGCAGAAGUUUUUAUUUGUAAUUGCUGAACUUAAGCAUUCUAGUAGCUGAAGUUUUGUNNNNNNNNNNNNNNNNNNNNNNNNNNNNNNNNNNNNNNNNNNNNNNNNNNNNNNNNNNNNNNNNNNNNNNNNNNNNNNNNNNNNNNNNNNNNNNNNNNNNNNNNNNNNNNNNNNNNNNNNNNNNNNNNNNNNNNNNNNNNNNNNNNNNNNNNNNNNNNNNNNNNNNNNNNNNNNNNNNNNNNNNNNNNNNNNNNNNNNNNNNNNNNNNNNNNNNNNNNNAGUUUUUUCAAAAACUUCAGCAUAAGAUGCUGAAGUUAUUUAGUUCAUUUGUAAAAACUUUAGCACUAAAUAAGCUGAAGUGUUUUUGUCCUGGAUUCAUUAGUUUUGUCAUUAAGCUUUUUCAAAGACUUCAGUAGAUGAUGCUGAAGUUAUUUAGUUCAUUUGUAAAAACUUCAGCACUAAAUAAGCUGAAGUUUUUUUGUCCCGGAUUCAUUAGUUUUUUCAUAAAGCUUUUUCAAAAACUUCAGCACUAUAUAAGCUGAAGUUAUUUAGUUCAUUUGUAAAAACUUCAGCACUAUAUAAGCUGAAGUUUUUGAAAAAGAUUUCUAACAUACUAGAUAAAUAAUCACCUUAUUCUUUCAUAGUGUAUUACUACUAUAAAAUAAUUAGAUUGCCAACAAUAUCUAAAUCAUAAAUUUUUGAAACAAUAAACGUGAAAAGAACAGAAUUAUCAUGAAAAGAAUCACUAAGUGUGACCUUAAACUUCCCGUACGUUAAAAUAUUCACAAAUUAUUGUCUACUAACUUACGUAAUUAUUUAUAACUUAUUUUUAAAUAAUCUGAUAAACAUACUUAUGACAAUCAUCCCAUGAACUGAAAUUUUAUAGCAGCACCAACAACAGCAGAAGAAAGAAGAAGAAGAAAACGAAGGAGGAGAAAUGGGGCUGAAAUUAUUUAAAAAGUGGGUACAAAUUAAAACUUUUUAAAAAAUGGGUAUAAGUUAAAUGAUAGCGACCAAAUAAGGCGCCCCCCCGUGCAAUUUUUACGCUAAAAAGUCCCAAAUUGUCAUGAUUUGGCCCAAAAAGAGGUCUCAAGCUAUAUAGCUGACGUUUGGCCAUAAAUUGCCAAAUUUGUUUUGAAAAAUUCAAUUUGGGUGAAGUUUGGUUUGAAGAUGAAAAUGUGUUUGGAUAUCAGUUUUCAAAACAUAUUUCACUUUUUUUUUUUGAAAAAAACAUGGAACGUGACUUAACCCACAAGUUCUAAAAACAAUCACAAAUACCCAACAAUACAUUAAUCAAUAAUAUUCAUUAUCAUUAUCACAAACCAUAAUCCUGAACAUAAAUAAAUUUGAUACAAAAUUAUCAUUUUUAUAAUAAACUACAUAAUACACUAUCAAAUGAUCGAGAAGACGAAACAACAUUGUUACAAAAUAAUAAAUGGUAGGCUCUUUUAUAAAAUACGAAAGUUUAUGACAAUUUUUAAAAAAUGUAAUAGUAAUAUUUUGGGCCAAAUGGUUUUGGGAUUUGGGUUUUGAGUUUUGAAAAUUUACCAAAAUAUGGAUAAAAUUUAUAAACAAACAUUUCUUUGCCAAUUUUUUUUUAGCAAAAUCUAUGGCCGAACGGGUCAUAUAUUUGGGAUUUGAAGUUUUGGUUUUCAAAUCUUCCAAAAACUAAAUAAUUCUAUAAACAAACACAUAUUUGAAAUUUUUGUUUGGAAGAAAACUUCCAAAAUUUAUGGCCAAACGCCUAGUUAGAUUCGAACAAAUGGUAUAAAACAACUUCUUUGUCACCUUUGUCAUUAAAUUCCAAACUUUUCUUACGUCAACGGAAAUCAAUUUUUUUAUAUAUACAUGAAAUGUAUUUCACCCUAUUUGGAUGAUAUAAUUUUCCAACAAGAAAUUUCAAUUGGUCUCUUUCAUGCAAUCCACUAUUUACCCUCCAAAAUACAUCCCAAAUGUUUACAUCUUGUUCAUAAUUCAAGUUAACCAAAAGUAGAGCAAUUGUAAAACACUAUAUGAAGUGCAGUGUGUUCCAUAUGUCUGAGGUUCCCUUCCCAGUUGUAACAGCAAAACCUGCAAAAUGUUCCGCAUCUCUCGUGGCACCCCAAACAAAUGCAAAUGUGCAGUGCAAUAUAACAUCAUUUGCAUUUUUACUACAGCAUUUUCAUCUCCUUUUAUCUAAGAAGAUACACAGCCAGCAGCGGAGCUAGAGUGCUAGCAGCAAGUUCGGCCAAACCUAGUAGUUUUAGUUUGAAUUAUGUAGUAUUUGUCUUUAAAUUUUUGUUGAAAGUAUACAAAUAAUAACUUAAAAAGGAUUAAGAAUUUUGAACCCAUAAACUAAAAAUCCUAGCUCUGCCGUUGAGGCGAAGGAGCACAUAGAAUCAUAUGGAAAUGGUAAUGUGGAGUCAGCUAUGUUUUCAAUUGAACACAGGUAUACACAAUAAUUCACCUUUUACCAUGAAAGUAGAAGCCAGAGUCCAGAAAAGUACAAGCUGAUAAAAAGAAUAGGUUACUGCAUACUAUUAUACUAGACUUACCUGAUGCUGAAAACAAACAUUUUAAUAAUAUAGUGGCGGUUCCAGAGAUCAAACAGAAAACAAAAACAGAAAAUGAAGCAAAUCACUAGAGGUCGAACCAAUACAUGGUUGGACUUAGCAAGAUAAUGCAAAUAAAUAUGGGCAUACCCAAAAUUUUGGCAAUUACCUAAAGCCAUGCUUGAUUUAUUUUGCUCAACUUGAGAACAAGAUAAUUCAAGUCCCAACAUUAUCACGGUUAUGGAACAAUGAAGUGUUUUCAUCCAUAAAUUCAGAAGUUGUCACAAACACAAACAUACUCCAAAAAGGCAGUUGGACCUUCGUUUCUCCACAGUGAUACUAAACAUUCUUCGUAGUAUUUGUAAAAUGAAUCUACUCACAACCAUGUAAAAUGACGAGAAAAUAAAGCAAGCAUGUUCUGGAUAAUAUACUAACAUAAAAAUAAAGGUAACAAUGUACUCAAACCAAUAUUGAUAAUGGGCAAUUUAGCUGAUAUCAAAUUAAUGUUUUGGCCUUCUUCUCUCCACAAAGACUUCUAUAGAUUCAUUGCAUUUCACCUCUUUGUUUUUAUGUUAAUCCCUCGGCGACCCACAACCAUUCAAAAUUAUGAAAAAAAAUAAAGAAAGCAUGUUCCAGAAAAAUUUGCUUAAAUCAAAAUAAACAUAACUUUACACAAAAAUGAAGAAGAAAAAAGAUCUAUUUUACUAUGAGAUGGCGGCUGAGGGAAAGAACCCUAGCUUUAGAAGAUGCAAGAUUGAGGGAUAAAUAGAUAGAGCUUUUAUCAAAAUUGCACUAGAGCCCCUUACACUUCUAAAGAUUUAGAAAUUUGUAUCCUUGAUUACUUCU